Molecule: ribosomal RNA, 1062 nt
Filed under: Triticum aestivum (bread wheat)
Lineage: Eukaryota; Viridiplantae; Streptophyta; Magnoliopsida; Poales; Poaceae
Description: partial small subunit ribosomal RNA
Source: RNAcentral
AUGAACAUUGCUCUCCUGACCCGAUGGCUAUGGCGUAUUGCCAACGGGGAGGGCGGCCUCUGGCUUACCAUCAUUCAGAAUAAGUACCUCCGAGGACAACCUCUUGCUUUCUGCCAGCGCUCUGGGGGAUCCCAAUUCUGGCAGGCUGUGAUUCAGCUCCUCCCCGUGCUCCGGAUUGGCACUUCCAUCUCGGUGGGUUCCGGGUCCUCGACCCUGUUUUGGUUCGACCGCUGGCUUGGGGAUUCCCCUCUGGCCGCCCGCUUCCCGGGCUUAUUUGCCAUUGCGGCAGACCCACGAAUUUCCGUCGAAACGGCCCUUAUUGACCUAGGGCGCCUUGCCUUUCGGCGCUCCUUUGGCCCCCAGGAGGUUGACGCGUGGGACGCCCUUCUACAGGACAUCGCUCUCUUGCCAAUGCAUGUAGAGGGCGCCACCGACUCCAUGGCGUGGCGUCUGGAGCCCUCGGGAAGCUUCUCCACGAAGUCUUUGUAUGCUGCCAUCGCCCCUUCGCUGGCCCCUGAGCCCUUUAGCCUGAUCUGGGACAUUCGUCUCCCCCUCAAGAUCCGGAUAUUCCUCUGGCAGUGGAUCCGGGGACGUCUCCCCUCUGGGGUGGAAGUCCGCAAGCGCAAUGGCCCUGGGGACGAGAUGUGUCCCCUGUGCGCCACGGUGGAGGAUUCGAACCACAUUUUCUUCAACUGCUCCACUGCCCAAUUCCUGUGGUCGUGCUUCCGUGAAACGGUCGGCGGACAGUGGUGCAAUUCCAACUUCCCUGACCUACUCGCGGAGAUCCAUGCCUCCUCCCCGCGUUACCGCCAUAUUAGAUGGCUGUGCAUUGGGAUCCUUGCAUGGACGCUUUGGAAUAUUCGCAACAAGCUCGUUAUUCAGAAAGUGCCUCUGCGACGUGCGACUGACGCGAUCUUCAAAAUGUGUGGCUAUUUGCAGCUUUGGCGGCCGCUUAGCCGCCCCCCGGACCGGAGCGUCAUCGACACCCUCCUCACCGACCUUCGAUCGAUGGCCUUCCGCAUGGCGCCCCCGCUUCCGCCACCGCCGCCGGAACCUGAUUAG